UUUCCGUAGGUGAACCUGCGGAAGGAUCAUUAUCGAGUUUUGACUGGGUUGUAGCUGGCCUUCCGAGGCAUGUGCACGCCCUGCUCAUCCACUCUACACCUGUGCACUUACUGUGGGUAUCAGAUCGUGAAGCGUGCUCUUUUACCGGAGCUUGUGAAGCGUGUCUGUGCCUACGUUUAUCACAAACACUAUAAGUAUCAGAAUGUGUAUUACGAUGUAACACAUCUAUAUACAACUUUCAGCAACGGAUCUCUUGGCUCUC
RNAcentral lists this unclassified non-coding RNA (262 nucleotides) under plant metagenome. RNAcentral describes it as "partial contains small subunit ribosomal RNA, internal transcribed spacer 1, and 5.8S ribosomal RNA". The record is from RNAcentral.